CUACGUGCCAGCAGCCGGCGGUAAUACGUAGGGUAGCGAAGCGUUAAUCGGAAUUACUGGGCGUAAAGCGUGCGCAGGCGGUCUUGUAAGACAGUCGUGAAAGCCCCGGGCUUAACCUGGGAACUGCGAUUGUGACUGCAAGGCUAGAGUGUGUCAGAGGGGGGUGGAAUUCCACGUGUAGCAGUGAAAUGCGUAGAGAUGUGGAGGAACACCGAUGGCGAAGGCAGCCCCCUGGGAUAACACUGACGCUCAUGCACGAAAGCGUGGGGAGCAAACAGGAUUAGAUACCCUGGUAGUCCACGCCCUAAACGAUGUCAACUGGUUGUUGGAAGGGUAACCUUUUUAGUAACGAAGCUAACGCGUGAAGUUGACCGCCUGGGGAGUACGGUCGCAAGAUUAAAACUCAAAGGAAUUGACGGGGAC
Molecule: ribosomal RNA, 423 nt
Filed under: uncultured bacterium
Lineage: Bacteria
Description: bacterial SSU rRNA
Rfam family: Bacterial small subunit ribosomal RNA
Source: RNAcentral